GGAUAACCUUGCGAAAGUAAGACUAAUACCCAAUGAUAUCUCUAGAAGGCAUCUGAAAGAGAUUAAAGAUUUAUCGGUGAUGGAUGGGGAUGCGUCUGAUUAGCUUGUUGGCGGGGUAACGGCCCACCAAGGCAACGAUCAGUAGGGGUUCUGAGAGGAAGGUCCCCCACAUUGGAACUGAGACACGGUCCAAACUCCUACGGGAGGCAGCAGUGAGGAAUAUUGGCCAAUGGACGAGAGUCUGAACCAGCCAAGUAGCGUGCAGGAAGACGGCCCUAUGGGUUGUAAACUGCUUUUAUAAGGGAAUAAAGUGAGUCUCGUGAGACUUUUUGCAUGUACCUUAUGAAUAAGGACCGGCUAAUUCCGUGCCAGCAGCCGCGGUAAUACGGAAGGUCCGGGCGUUAUCCGGAUUUAUUGGGUUUAAAGGGAGCGUAGGCCGGAGAUUAAGCGUGUUGUGAAAUGUAGAUGCUCAACAUCUGAACUGCAGCGCGAACUGGUUUCCUUGAGUACGCACAAAGUGGGCGGAAUUCGUGGUGUAGCGGUGAAAUGCUUAGAUAUCACGAAGAACUCCGAUUGCGAAGGCAGCUCACUGGAGCGCAACUGACGCUGAAGCUCGAAAGUGCGGGUAUCGAACAGGAUUAGAUACCCUGGUAGUCCGCACGGUAAACGAUGGAUGCCCGCUGUUGGUCUGAAUAGGUCAGCG
RNAcentral lists this ribosomal RNA (703 nucleotides) under uncultured bacterium. RNAcentral describes it as "bacterial SSU rRNA". It matches the Rfam family "Bacterial small subunit ribosomal RNA", at positions 141 to 845 of the family's 1533-position model. The record is from RNAcentral.